This 277-nucleotide ribosomal RNA is filed under the name uncultured bacterium. Its description in RNAcentral is "partial 16S ribosomal RNA". It matches the Rfam family "Bacterial small subunit ribosomal RNA", at positions 28 to 315 of the family's 1533-position model. The record is from RNAcentral.
GACGAACGCUUGCGACGUGCCUAAGAAAUGCAAGUCGAACGAGGGAGCAAUCCCUAGUGGCGAACGGUCGCGUAACACGUGGGCAACCUGCCCUAGAGUGGGGGAUAACAGCCCGAAAGGGUUGCUAAUACCGCAUGUGGAUCGCUCUGGCAUCAGAGAGGAUCCAAAGGAGUAAUUCGCUCUAGGAUGGGCCCGCGGCCUAUCAGCUUGUUGGUGGGGUAACGGCCUACCAAGGCGACGACGGGUAGCUGGUCUGAGAGGACGAUCAGCCGGAUUG